This 396-nucleotide ribosomal RNA is filed under the name uncultured bacterium. RNAcentral describes it as "bacterial SSU rRNA". It matches the Rfam family "Bacterial small subunit ribosomal RNA", at positions 28 to 428 of the family's 1533-position model. The record is from RNAcentral.
GACGAACGCUGGCGGCGUGCUUAACACAUGCAAGUCGAGCGGUAAGGCCCUUUCGGGGGUACACGAGCGGCGAACGGGUGAGUAACACGUGGGUGACCUGCCUCUAGCUCUGGGAUAAGCCUGGGAAGCUGGGUCUAAUACCGGAUAUGACCUCGCGGUGCAUGUUGCGGGGUGGAAAGCCUUGUGCGGCUAGGGAUGGGCCCGCGGCCUAUCAGCUUGUUGGUGGGGUGAUGGCCUACCAAGGCGACGACGGGUAGCCGGCCUGAGAGGGCGACCGGCCACACUGGGACUGAGACACGGCCCAGACUCCUACGGGAGGCAGCAGUGGGGAAUCUUGCGCAAUGGGCGAAAGCCUGACGCAGCGACGCCGCGUGAGGGAUGACGGCCUCGGUGUAA